UACGUAGGGUGCGAGCGUUGUCCGGAAUUACUGGGCGUAAAGCGCGCGCAGGCGGUCUUCCAAGUCAGUGGUGAAAGCCCGGAGCUCAACUCCGGAACUGCCAUUGAAACUGUUAGACUUGAGGAUGAGAGAGGUGAGUGGAAUUCCCAGUGUAGAGGUGAAAUUCGUAGAUAUUGGGAAGAACACCGGUGGCGAAGGCGGCUCACUGGCUCAUUACUGACGCUCGAGGCGCGAUAGCGUGGGGAUCAAACAGG
Molecule: ribosomal RNA, 254 nt
Filed under: uncultured bacterium
Lineage: Bacteria
Description: partial 16S ribosomal RNA
Rfam family: Bacterial small subunit ribosomal RNA
Source: RNAcentral